RNAcentral lists this ribosomal RNA (654 nucleotides) under Salmonella enterica. Its description in RNAcentral is "partial 23S ribosomal RNA". It matches the Rfam family "Bacterial large subunit ribosomal RNA", at positions 962 to 1616 of the family's 2925-position model. Lineage: Bacteria; Pseudomonadati; Pseudomonadota; Gammaproteobacteria; Enterobacterales; Enterobacteriaceae. The record is from RNAcentral.
CCGGAGAAUGUUAUCACGGGAGACACACGGCGGGUGCUAACGUCCGUCGUGAAGAGGGAAACAACCCAGACCGCCAGCUAAGGUCCCAAAGUCAUGGUUAAGUGGGAAACGAUGUGGGAAGGCCCAGACAGCCAGGAUGUUGGCUUAGAAGCAGCCAUCAUUUAAAGAAAGCGUAAUAGCUCACUGGUCGAGUCGGCCUGCGCGGAAGAUGUAACGGGGCUAAACCAUGCACCGAAGCUGCGGCAGCGACGCUGAUGCGUUGUUGGGUAGGGGAGCGUUCUGUAAGCCUGCGAAGGUGACCUGUGAGGGUUGCUGGAGGUAUCAGAAGUGCGAAUGCUGACAUAAGUAACGAUAAAGCGGGUGAAAAGCCCGCUCGCCGGAAGACCAAGGGUUCCUGUCCAACGCUAAUCGGGGCAGGGUGAGUCGACCCCUAAGGCGAGGCCGAAAGGCGUAGUCGAUGGGAAACGGGUUAAUAUUCCCGUACUUGGUGUUACUGCGAAGGGGGGACGGAGAAGGCUAUGUUGGCCGGGCGACGGUUGUCCCGGUUUAAGCGUGUAGGUGUGUGUUCCAGGUAAAUCCGGUUCACUUUAACACUGAGGCGUGACGACGAGGCACUACGGUGCUGAAGCAACAAAUGCCCUGCUUCCAGGAAAA